AAUAGGAAAAUGACAAAUAAUAUUUUUUCUCCUGAUCUUUAACUUUUUCUUCCUGACAAAAUUUAAAUCCAACUAAAGAUGCUAAAAAUUACGAGAGAAAAUCUAAUUUGUCAUUCUCCUAUU
Molecule: microRNA precursor, 123 nt
Filed under: Gossypium hirsutum (cotton)
Lineage: Eukaryota; Viridiplantae; Streptophyta; Magnoliopsida; Malvales; Malvaceae
Description: MIR7504 microRNA precursor family
Rfam family: MIR7504 microRNA precursor family
Source: Rfam by way of RNAcentral